UUCGCCCUUUUCCGGUUGAUCCUGCCGGACCUGACUGCUAUCGGAUUGAUACUAAGCCAUGCGAGUCAUUGUAGCAAUACAAGGCAGACGGCUCAGUAACGCGUAGUCAACCUACCCUAUGGACGGGAAUAACCUCGGGAAACUGAGUAUAAUGCCCGAUAGAACAUUAUGCCUGGAAUGGUUUGUGUUCCAAAUGAUUUAUCGCCGUAGGAUGGGACUGCGGCCUAUCAGUUUGUUGGUGAGGUAAUGGCCCACCAAGACUAUUACAGGUACGGGCUCUGAGAGGAGUGGCCCGGAGAUGGGUACUGAGACACGGACCCAGGCCCUAUGGGGCGCAGCAGGCGAGAAAACUUUGCAAUGUGCGAAAGCACGACAAGGUUAAUCCGAGUGGUUUGUGCUAAACGAACCUUUUGU
RNAcentral lists this ribosomal RNA (414 nucleotides) under uncultured archaeon. RNAcentral describes it as "bacterial SSU rRNA". It matches the Rfam family "Archaeal small subunit ribosomal RNA", at positions 1 to 413 of the family's 1478-position model. The record is from RNAcentral.